RNAcentral lists this ribosomal RNA (253 nucleotides) under uncultured bacterium. RNAcentral's name for it is "partial 16S ribosomal RNA". It matches the Rfam family "Bacterial small subunit ribosomal RNA", at positions 524 to 776 of the family's 1533-position model. The record is from RNAcentral.
UACGGGGGGGGCAAGCGUUGUUCGGAAUUACUGGGCGUAAAGGGCUCGUAGGCGGUCAACUAAGUCAGACGUGAAAUCCCCAGGCUCAACCUGGGAACUGCGUCUGAUACUGGAUGGCUUGAAUCCGGGAGAGGGAUGCAGAAUUCCAGGUGUAGCGGUGAAAUGCGUAGAUAUCCGGAGGAAUACCGGUGGCAAAGGCGGCAUCCUGGGCCGGCAUUGACGCUGAGGAGCGAAAGCCAGGGGAGCGAACGGG